GGACUACUAGGGUAUCUAAUCCUGUUCGCUACCCAUGCUUUCGCUCCUCAGCGUCAGUUACUACCCAGAGACCUGCCUUCGCCAUCGGUGUUCUUCCUGAUAUCUGUGCAUUCCACCGCUACACCAGAAAUUCCAGUCUCCCCUGUAGUACUCAAGUCAGCCCGUAUCGCCUGCACGUCCAGGGUUAAGCCCUAGGAUUUCACAGACGACGUGACAAACCGCCUACGAGCUCUUUACGCCCAGUAAUUCCGGACAACGCUCGCACCCUACGUAUUACCGCGGCUGCUGGCAC
This 292-nucleotide ribosomal RNA is filed under the name uncultured bacterium. RNAcentral's name for it is "partial 16S ribosomal RNA". The record is from RNAcentral.